CCUACGGGUGGCAGCAGUGGGGGAUAUUGGGCAAUGGGCGCAACCCUGAUCCAGCAACGCCGCGUGAAGGAAGAAGGCUUUCGGGUCGUAAACUUCUGUUAUGAGGGACGAAGAAAGUGACGGCACCUCAGGAAUAAGCCACGGCUAACUACGUGGCAGCCGCCGCGGUAAUACGUAGGUGGCAAGCCUUAUCCGGAUUUAGUGGGUGUAAAGGGCGGGUAGGCGGGAAAGCAAGUCAGAUGUGAAAACUCAGGGCUCAACCCUGAGCCUGCCUUUGAAACUGUUUUUCUUGAGUGCGGGAGAGGCAAGCGGAAUUCCGGGUGUAGCGGUGAAAUGCGUAGAUAUACGGAGGAACACCAGUGGCGAAGGCGGAUUGCUGGACAGUAACUGACGCUGAGGCGCGAAAGCGUGGGUAGCAAACAGGAUUAGAUACCCCAGUAGUC
RNAcentral lists this ribosomal RNA (443 nucleotides) under uncultured bacterium. RNAcentral's name for it is "partial 16S ribosomal RNA". It matches the Rfam family "Bacterial small subunit ribosomal RNA", at positions 338 to 795 of the family's 1533-position model. The record is from RNAcentral.